GAGUUUGAUCUUGGCUCAGAACGAACGCUGGCGGCAUGCCUAACACAUGCAAGUCGAACGAGAUCUUCGGAUCUAGUGGCGCACGGGUGCGUAACGCGUGGGAAUCUGCCCUUGGGUGCGGAAUAACUUCUCGAAAGGGAUGCUAAUACCGCAUAAUGUCGUAAGACCAAAGAUUUAUCGCCCAAGGAUGAGCCCGCGUAAGAUUAGCUAGUUGGUGGGGUAAAAGCCUACCAAGGCGACGAUCUUUAGCUGGUCUGAGAGGAUGAUCAGCCACACUGGGACUGAGACACGGCCCAGACUCCUACGGGAGGCAGCAGUGGGGAAUAUUGGACAAUGGGCGAAAGCCUGAUCCAGCAAUGCCGCGUGAGUGAUGAAGGCCCUAGGGUUGUAAAGCUCUUUUACCCGGGAUGAUAAUGACAGUACCGGGAGAAUAAGCUCCGGCUAACUCCGUGCCAGCAGCCGCGGUAAU
RNAcentral lists this ribosomal RNA (469 nucleotides) under uncultured microorganism. Its description in RNAcentral is "bacterial SSU rRNA". It matches the Rfam family "Bacterial small subunit ribosomal RNA", at positions 9 to 524 of the family's 1533-position model. The record is from RNAcentral.